RNAcentral lists this ribosomal RNA (253 nucleotides) under uncultured bacterium. Its description in RNAcentral is "partial 16S ribosomal RNA". It matches the Rfam family "Bacterial small subunit ribosomal RNA", at positions 524 to 776 of the family's 1533-position model. The record is from RNAcentral.
UACGUAGGGCGCGAGCGUUGUCCGGAUUUAUUGGGCGUAAAGAGCUCGUAGGCGGCUUGUUGCGUCGACUGUGAAAACCCGCGGCUUAACUGCGGGCUUGCAGUUGAUACGGGCAGGCUAGAGUUCGGUAGGGGAGACUGGAAUUCCUGGUGUAGCGGUGAAAUGCGCAGAUAUCAGGAGGAACACCGGUGGCGAAGGCGGAUCUCUGGGCCGAUACUGACGCUGAGGAGCGAAAGCGUGGGGAGCGAACAGG